Molecule: long non-coding RNA, 227 nt
Organism: Hibiscus syriacus
Lineage: Eukaryota; Viridiplantae; Streptophyta; Magnoliopsida; Malvales; Malvaceae
Exons: 3
Source: RefSeq, a predicted model, not a curated record
AUACAUUCCUCAGCAUUCUACUCCCAAUUUUCGUCACUGAAGCACAGGCCCUCAAAGGAAAUUUGAGAAGAUGUUCUCGUCAUGCAAUUACCUUCUUUCUUGGAGAGAUAUCAACACAGAGACGGAUAGAUUGGCUAAGGGAGGAAUCGGUCGAGUGCAACCAUGGAAGGGGUCCAUAGUUGGUUCCUAUACGAGUUGGAAGGGGUCGUGGAUGUUGGUUAAUUGCU